This is a non-coding RNA of Nicotiana tabacum (common tobacco), 7672 nucleotides long. NCBI's taxonomy places the organism in Eukaryota, Viridiplantae, Streptophyta, Magnoliopsida, Solanales, Solanaceae. The record is from RefSeq and is a predicted model, not a curated record.
UUAUCUAUUUUUCGUUUUUUAUAAGGCGUCACGUACUCUACAUGUGACGUCGCCGGCCCUACUGCCCGGCGGGAGACGGGAAGACGAAAAAAUACAAUGAAAUGUGUGUUAGAAGCCUCGUAUCACUAUUAUCUCCUCCGUCUCUGCGAGAUUCAUGAAAAGAAGGAAAAUUCAGAAGCCCCAAUUGGUUUCUUCGAUAGGCAAAAAAAGGCUAAAAAGAGUACUCGCAAAUAUUGGAACGAUGAACAAGCCUUAAUUCCGAAGUGGAACAUAUGCUUAUGAUAAUUUAUCCUGUAAUAUGGUUACAAGGCAUUUGUGAGAAAGUAGUUAAGAAGUGUAAGAAGCUAGUCUUUUUGAUUCAAUUUGGGAAUGGAAGUUGAUUUGAGGACUCGCGACCAAAUUAUGGCUAGACAUUGUAGCAGAAUUAAAGAUUCUAUUGUUGGAGGUUUGGUUAUGGGUUUGUCUAGAGGAAACUGAUAUUAGGGAAUCGGGUUUAUAUUAUUAGAUGAUUUCAUUAAGUUUAAUGAGUGGCUGUAUAUGAAGAUGAAAAAACCAGCUGAAGUAACUUUAAUGUUGGAAUCUAGAACCUAGAAAAAAUGCAGCGAGCAGUCUUCAAGAAAAAUGUGUGAAGAAGUUAAACCUUUGAAUAAAGAGAUAAGCGGCAUGAUGCUCGUAUAUCCACUUCGAGAUAUUCUCUGGGUCUUAGUCAAAUAUAGCCAAGGGUAUAGAAUGAAUCAUCUCCUUCAUGCGGUUAACACGUGACCAAAAGGUUUGACGUAAGCUCCUACUUUUGCCUGAAAUACGUUGGACCACCUAACUCCGCGAAGUUCAGCGGGUUUAUCUUGUUUGAUUCAUCAAACAGAAAACGAAAUUCUUUCAGCAUUUUAGCACGUUUGGUUUGAAUGAAGAUGAUGCAAAUGAUAUCUCAAUAGAUGAUGUGUCUCUAGGAUUUGAAUACCCUGUGGAUAUGGACGGAGGAGACUUUUCUGAUACUGACUAAGAAACCACCUUGGUCAAGUCAGCUGAAUUUUAACAUUCCUAUCAACUCAUCCUUGGCAUCCGGCCAAGAUGAAAGAAAUGAGUCUGAUGUUUCUGGCGGCAGAAUGGAGUAGGUAUGAUGGAAUGCCGAUAGAAAAGGACAAUUCAGUAAAGAAUCCGUAAGAGCACUUUUGCAGCAUAAAAUGUAGAGAGCUAACCCUUCCCACCCUCACCACCCUUAACUAGAGAGACUCCUUCAGUUUUUAUUGGAUAUGAACAUGGUAGUUUCGGCUUAGCCACACAUGGGUCCAUUUUGAUUAACCAAGAGAAUAAAAGUGUGUUUCUGGAGACAAAAGAAAAGGCUGAAGAUUUUGAGCUGGAAUCUGGAUAUCAAGCAACAAACACCUAUAAGUGGAAGCCACUAUAGUGAUUAAUGCAGCAUUGUUCACGGGUAGACUUAGAGUUGGUUGGCUCCCUAAUGGCAUUCCCAUACAUUCUGGUGUCAAUUGGAGGACUUUGCCAACUAAGUUGCUUUGACACGGGUGCGGAUUUAGAGGUCGGAUCCUCUGAGAUGUAAAUUUUAAGGUUCGGAGAUACGGAUCCUAGAACCACCACGGGUUCGGGGAUCCAGCUAAAAAAAACUCAAAAAAAUAAAAAUUUAAAAAUAUGUCUAAAUUAUGAGAAAUUUUGUGGAAUACUUACCUAUAGCUUGUAAAGUGUGAAUUUCUUUUUUAUUCUCAAGUUGUAGGAGUGAUUUCCUUCCAUUCUCGGAUUCUCCUACAAGUUACAUAAAGUAUAUAAAAUAUAAUAGAUAUCACAUAACUACAUAAGUAAAAGAGUUAGAUAUAUAAAGAUAAAGAAAACAUACCUUUUAGGCUUUUCCUGGUUUUGUCGAAGAACUUGACAUGAACAUAGAGAAUAAAAGACGUAAUUAUCAUUCCUCUCACAAGUCACAAAUUAUAAAGAGUUAGUCAUUCUCAUUAAGUCAAUCAAAUAAGCAUGAACACCAAAAAGACAAAAAUAAACUACAAUUGCAAUCACCAUUCUCCAUGCAAAAUUAUAUUAACAUUGAAUUAUAUAAACUAAUAAAAAGUAGGAAGGUAUAACUAUUAAAUUUUAGCAUUUGAACAAUAAUAUUUAGCAUUCUUCCUCAAUAUUUUCAAGAUCAAUUUCUUACACGUCUUCAACCUCUUCUUCAAAGAUUACUCCUUCUAGUUGAGGUUCAUCUAUUGAUAAGUCAACUAGAUCACUGGUGGCUUCAUCAACAUCAAAACGAUCUCCACCUAAAGCAAAAUUAAAAUAAAAAUGAUUUAAAAAUAAAAGAAAUAUAAAAUCAAGAAAACAUAGAUUAUAGACAUACUCACAUCCCAAUACGUGCUUGGGCCACUUGUAUAUUUUUCUGUUUGACGAGAAAGCAAGCGAAGAUUGUAGUGCACAAAAGCUAGAUCUUCGGCUCUUGAAGUCUCGUACUUAUUUCUUUUGAUGUUAUGGAUCAACGAAUAGGGCUCCAAUUCCUUUAGCAACAAUAAGAAACCAAUUGUGAAAGCAAUUUGUAAGCCAAGCUUUGCAAAAACGGAGCAUUUACACCAUGGUUUGCCCACCAAGAUACAAGCUUCUCAUACAUCAUAGCCUCAACCACAUGAGAAUCACUAAUAAAACCACUCUCACUUGCGAAUGCUCCAUACUCCAAAGACGCUUGUUUUAGAUCAUUUGAAUAUUUAAAGUAUUUUUGGAAGCAUUUAACCCUAUUUUAGGAAAUCUCUCUAUCCUCGUUAGGAGCAAGCCUUCGAACCUCAUGGCCUUUUUUAAGUCAUGACUCGUCGUAGUAUUUUGGUACCAAUGAAUGUGUUAUAUAAUAUAAAUGAGUGUUACUCUUAUUCUACCUAGUAGCAAGAAUUUCUUGAAUUGUAUCAAAAAAGUACGAUUGCCCGAUAAUAAUAUCCUUUCCCUCUUUCUCAAAGAUUAUUGCCUUCACAUUUUCGAUCAUUGUAUCCCACAUAUCAUAGACAAGAUGCAACUUUGGAGCAUCAAGAUCGGCACCUCUAAGCAUAGACACAAUUGAUUCCGUAAACUUUAAAAAGUACCCAAUCCUAUCCCACCAUCUGUCAUUCAUUUCAAGGAAUUUUAUUUCACGCGUUUUAGCUUCAGUCGCUUUACCUCCCUUAUAAUUUCUCCAAUCAUCGUCGAUCAUCAUUCUUUUCAAUGAUACUUUCACUUGAUGAAUAUGACUAGUCAUGACAACAUGAGAUGCAAAUCUCGUUUCGGCAACUUUCAACAAAGACAACGCCGAAUGCUUUUGAAAAAGAGCAUGAGUUAUAUCAUGAUUCAACACAAAAAAUUUCAAGCUACUAGCUUCACCAAUCAAAUCCAAAAUCCAUUUGUAAUUUACAAAUUGAGUUGAUUUUUCGGAAGGUUGACACAUACUUUUUAAUGCAAGGUUCAAACAAUGAACAACACAUGGUGUUCAAAAUAUAUGUGAAAAAGUUUGCUCAACCGUGAAACGACAAGCUUCAUAUUACUUGCAUUAUCGGUGAUAACUUGAACAACAUUACUUGCACCAACCUCUUCAAAACCUUGAGAUGAGAACCAUCAGAUUUUUUCACUGGUUAAGGGUAUAUCAGGAUAUUUUACUUGUAAGAAGCCAUGAGAGAGACCCCUUAUGUUUCACUUUCCAAGUCUUUGAGCAAAGCAAGGUCAUAACAAUUUCCAAAAUUAAAUUUAACUCCUGAUCAACUGCCAAACCUAGUCAGAACAUUACUUACAACAAAAAAUGAACAGUAACAAACCUCUGACAAUCUGCUGAAAUGAUGAAAAAACCUACCAUCAUCAACUUAAAACAGAAAUGAACAUGCUAAGAGUUCAUUAGUUUUACACUACGGCAGAACUCAAAGGGGAGGCAUUACAUUUGCACCUCAUAUAACAGAAGAAUAUCUCCUCAUCACUUGAUCUUUUCCUUCCUUUUAAAAAAAAAAGAUUCUCCUAAUCACAUGAUCUGUCAUCAAACAUAAACCAGCAGCACCUGCGCUGGAAUUUGUAUGUCCUGCUUCAAACAUCAUAGAAGAUAGGACCAGAGACUCAUGGAUUAGAAGUCUAAAGUAAUUAUCCCACAACUAAAUGCCAAACAGCAAGCCCUCCUGUAACAAAAAAGAGUAGUUCAAGCAAGAAAGGCAAGGACACAAAAUUCUCAAGCAUAACUCAAGCGACUAUAAAAGGAAACCUGGUUCUGAAAAUGCAUUAUGCCAAAUGAUGCUAUUAUUGUAUAGACACGCAAACCAAGCUAAAAUGCAACAGCAUCAAGUACAAGAUGCUGACACAGGUAAGAGCAAGACUGGCUAAUAGCAAGGCACAAGGGCAAUACACGUAGUUUUCCAUGUUUGGGGAAAGGUAAGAGAUUCUCUAGAUUGAAUUUCUUCAUCCAUUCAUUUUUUCGUUUUAGUAGUAGGGGAAAUCUGAAAAUGUGCCCUAAACAAUUACCUAAAUAGAACUAUUUAUCCAGGUUAUAUGCAAUGCAACAAAUAUUUUCCUUCAGCCUUGUUUAGUCUAGGAUUACCAUGUACAUCCCACAUAUGAAACCAUUGCGCAGACGUAUUAUACUAAAUCCUGGAAGAAAUGAAUGACUUAACCAUGCAAAAGACAGUAAAAGCUUUAGUGGGAGCAGCAACUGAAACAACCACCACACAAAUGUAAUAUCCCAGAAAUAGAGUGCACCGAUUACUUGAACAACAUUAAAUCAAUUGAAGAGGUUGGUGCAAGUAAAGUUGUUCAAGUUAUCACCGAUAAUGCAAGUAAUAUGAAGCUUGCCGGUUCUACGGUUGAGCAAACAUUUUCACAUAUAUUUGGGACACCAUAUGUUAUUUAUUGUUUGAACCUUGCACUAAAAAAAAGUAUGUGCCAACCUUCCGAAAAAUCAAUUCAAUUUGUAAAUUACAAAUGGAUUUUAGAUUUGAUUGGUGAAGUGAGUAGCUUGAAACUUUUUGUGUUGAAUCAUGAUAUGGCUCAUGCUCUUUUCCAAAAGCAUUUGGCGUUGUCUUUGUUGAAAGUUGCCGAAACGAGAAUUGCAUCUCAUGUUGUCAUGGCUAGUCGUGUUCAUUAAGUGAAAGCAUCAUCAGAAAGAAUGGUGAUGGAUGAUAAUUGGAGAAAUUAUAAGGGAGAUAAAUUGAUUGAAGCUAAAAUGAAUGAAAUAAAAUCACUUGUAAUGAAUGACGGAUGGUGGGAUAAGAUUGAGUACUUUUAAAGUUUACGGAACCAAUUGUGUCUAUGCUUAGAAGUGCCAAUCUUGAUGCUCCAAAGUUGCAUCUUGUUUAUGAUAUGCGGGAUGCAAUGAUCGAAAAGGUGAAGGCAAUUAUCUUUGAGCAAGAGGGAAAUGAACUUAUUAUCGGGCAAUCGGACUUUCUUGAUACAAUUCAAGAAAUUCUUGCUGCUAGGAGUAGCAUUCCUUUACAUUGUAUGGCACAUUCAUUGGUACCAAAAUACUACCACGAAUCAUGGCUUAGAAAAGGCAAUGGGGUUCAAAGGUUUGCUCCCAAUGAGGAUAGAAACAUUUCCUUAAAUAGGGUUAAAUGCUUCCAAAGAUCCAAGUGAUCUGCGUCUUUGGAGUAUGGAGCAUUCGCAAGUGGGAGUGUUUUUUUAGUGAACCUCAUGUGGAUGAGGCUAUGAUGUAUGAGGUGCCUCUAUCUUGGUGGGCUUGGUGUAAAUGCUCCACUUUUGCCAAGCUUGUCUUACAAAUUGCUUUUACAACCGACUUCUUCUCCUUAUUGCAAAAAGGAAUUGGAUCACCUAUUCGUUGAUCCAUAUCAUCAAAAAAAACUAGUUAGAGACUUUAAGAGCCGAAGAUCUAAUUUUUGUGCACUACAAUCUUCACUUGCUUUCUCGUCAAAAAGAAAAAUAUAUAAGUGGCCAAGCAAGUAUUGGAAUGUGGGUAUGUCUAUAAUCUAUGUUCUCUUGAUUUUAUAUUUUAAAUCAUUUUAAUGUUGCUUUAGGUGGAGUUCGUUUUGAUGUUGAUGAAGCCAUCGAUGAUCUAGUUGACUUAUCAAUAGAUGAACCUCAACUAAAAGGAGUCAUCUUUGAAGAAGAGGUUGAGUAUAUGCAAGAAAUUGAUCUUGAAAAUAUUGAGGAAGAAUGCUAAAUGUUAUUUUUCAAAUGCUAAAACUUUAUAGUUAUAUUUUCCUACUUUUUAUUGGUUUAUGUAGUUCAACGUUAAUGUAACUUUGUUCGGGAAAAUGGUGGUUGCAAUUGUAGUUUAUUUUUGCCUUUUUGGUGCUCAUACUUAUUUGAUUGACUUAAUGAGAAUGACUAACUCUUUAUAAUUUGUGACUUGGGAGAGGAAUGAUAAUUACGUCUUUUAUUCUCUAUGUUCGUGUCAAGUUCUUCGACAAACCAGUAAAAGCCUCAAAAGGAGAAUUCGAGAAUGGAAGAAAAUCACGCCUACAACUUGAGGGAAAAAAAGAAAUUCACUGUUUACAAGCUAUGUAAGUAUUUCUCAUAAUUUAGGGAUAUUUUUAUUUUUUGAAUUAUUUUUAGUCGGAUCCUCGCACCCGUAUUGAUUCUAGGAUCUGUAUUCCCGAAUGUUAGCCCUCAUUUGGCCAUACAUUUUGGCAAGUUUUUUUCAAAAAAAUUUUGAAAACAUUGUUCGUCCAUAGAUUAGUGAUUUGUUUUUGAAAAAUUUCUGAAAAUAUUUUUCAAGUUUUCAAAAUCUAGUUUAUGGUAGAUUUUGGUUGAAAAUCAAGUUCCUACUCACAAAACUUCAAUUUUUUUUCAAAUAAAAUGCAUGUCCAAACAUAAUUUCAACUUCCAAAAAUUAUUUUUCAAAACUACUUCAAAAAUUAUUUUUUCAAGUUUCAACUCAAUCUAUGUCCAAACGCUAGCUUAAACUUUGCAUCUCAAAUGAUCCGCACCCGUGUCAGAGCAACUUGUGUGAAGAGUAUAUACCAACUACGUAAUAAAUUUUGAGAAUGUAGAGUACAUCCUUGUACAAAUGUUCUUUUGUGUUUCUGACUUGACAUAUGGGAAGCCCAUGUUACUGGAUGGUAGAAAAACUGAAUGGAAAUAGAAGCCAGCUGCACUGCUAGGUCAAUGUUAUCAAGUUGUUAAUGUACCAUCAGAAAGAAGGCUGGAUACUGAUAAGCGGCAUCUUCCAUCGUAUUUGGAACAAAGCCUGUUUAGCUGGAUCCCCAAUCGGAGACUCCUGCAAAUACAUGAUACCAUAUUUAAGUCAAAAAAUGAGGUUCAGCUAAGCUGGUAUGGUACCAUAUUUAAGUCAGUUAACCUGCUAUGGGUUCCCAUUUAAGUUACCGGUCCCUGACAGGUCAGUGUAUGCUAUUUGGCGGAUGCUCUCUUUUUACAUUUUCAUCUUCUGUGCUAGUGUCAUUGCUCCCUAUUCAUCAAUUCUGCUUUACAGCAAAUUUUUACACUUGUACAUUUAAUGAAAAUUUGAGUUGAUCUAGUCAUUGUUGAUAUAUUAUCACCCUCUGCAGGGUUUUCUGGUUCAUCGUCGCCUGUAUAUUGUAAUUAGAAAACUCCCCUCUCCACGCUCUUCCUUUUGAGUGCUAGUCAUUUACUUUUGUUGCUUUUACAGUGUUGUGCAUCCUUUCCUUGUAAAUAAUUUAGAUCUUGUGAUGUUUCUUUAUCCGUUUUCAAUAGGAAUAUCUGAGGAGAAGCAGAGUCAUUAAUCUUGGACUUCAUUCAUUUCCAUUAA